ACCUGACAGGCUCAGUUGGUAGAGCAUGUGACUCUUGGUCUUGGAGUCGUGAGUUCAAGCCCCAUGUUGGGUG
This 73-nucleotide transfer RNA is filed under the name Felis catus (domestic cat). It matches the Rfam family "tRNA". Rfam says of the family: Transfer RNA (tRNA) molecules are approximately 80 nucleotides in length. Their secondary structure includes four short double-helical elements and three loops (D, anti-codon, and T loops). Further hydrogen bonds mediate the characteristic L-shaped molecular structure. tRNAs have two regions of fundamental functional importance: the anti-codon, which is responsible for specific mRNA codon recognition, and the 3' end, to which the tRNAs corresponding amino acid is attached (by aminoacyl-tRNA synthetases). tRNAs cope with the degeneracy of the genetic code in two manners: having more than one tRNA (with a specific anti-codon) for a particular amino acid; and 'wobble' base-pairing, i.e. permitting non-standard base-pairing at the 3rd anti-codon position. Lineage: Eukaryota; Metazoa; Chordata; Mammalia; Carnivora; Felidae. The record is from Rfam by way of RNAcentral. RNAcentral also lists the same sequence under 4 other names.